This 93-nucleotide transfer RNA is filed under the name Bacillota bacterium. RNAcentral's name for it is "tRNA-Ser". It matches the Rfam family "tRNA". From Rfam's summary of the family: Transfer RNA (tRNA) molecules are approximately 80 nucleotides in length. Lineage: Bacteria; Bacillati; Bacillota. The record is from RNAcentral.
GGAAGGGUGCCGGAGUAGGUCGAACGGGGCGCACUGCUAAUGCGUUGUAGGGGUAAAACCCUACCGAGGGUUCGAAUCCCUCCCCUUCCGCCA